RNAcentral lists this transfer RNA (72 nucleotides) under Chelonia mydas (Green sea turtle). It matches the Rfam family "tRNA". Rfam says of the family: Transfer RNA (tRNA) molecules are approximately 80 nucleotides in length. The record is from Rfam by way of RNAcentral. Lineage: Eukaryota; Metazoa; Chordata; Testudines; Cheloniidae.
GGGGGUAGAGCUCAGUGAUCGAGUGUUUGACUGCACAUUAAGUGGUCCUUGGUUCAACUCCAAGUGCCCCCU